This 473-nucleotide ribosomal RNA is filed under the name uncultured soil bacterium. RNAcentral's name for it is "bacterial SSU rRNA". It matches the Rfam family "Bacterial small subunit ribosomal RNA", at positions 27 to 518 of the family's 1533-position model. The record is from RNAcentral.
GGGAUGAACGCUGGCGGCGUGCUUAACACAUGCAAGUCGAACGGACAUUCCACUUUUCGGAGAGGGAUGUUAGUGGCAAACGGGUGCGUAACACGUAGGAAUCUGCCCUGAAGUGGGGGACAACGGCUGGAAACGGCCGCUAAACCCGCAUAGUCUCGCGCAAGUGAGUAAAGCUUUAUGCGCUUUAGGAGGAGCCUGCGGCCUAUCAGGUAGUUGGUGGGGUAAAAGCCUACCAAGCCGACGACGGGUAGGGGGCGUGAGAGCGUGGCCCCCCACAUGGGAACUGAGACACGGUCCCAACGCCUACGGGCGGCAGCAGUGAGGAAUAUGCACAAUGGGGGAAACCCUGAUGCAGCGACGUCGCGUGCGGGAAGAAGGCUUUCGGGUCGUAAACCGCUUUUCGUGGAGGACGAGAGGAGGACGGUACUCCGAGGAAUAAACGUCCCGGACUAACUACGUGCCAGCCAGGCCGC